AGCCCAGACUCCUACGGGAGGCAGCAGUGGGGAAUAUUGGGCAAUGGGCGCAAGCCUGACCCAGCAACGCUGCGUGAAGGAAGAAGGCUUUCGGGUUGUAAACUUCUUUUAAGAGGGAAGAGCAGAAGACGGUACCUCUUGAAUAAGCCACGGCUAACUACGUGCCAGCAGCCGCGGUAAUACGUAGGUGGCAAGCGUUGUCCGGAUUUACUGGGUGUAAAGGGCGUGUAGCCGGGCUGACAAGUCAGAUGUGAAAUCCGGGGGCUCAACCCCCGAACUGCAUUUGAAACUGUUGGUCUUGAGUAUCGGAGAGGCAGGCGGAAUUCCUAGUGUAGCGGUGAAAUGCGUAGAUAUUAGGAGGAACACCAGUGGCGAAGGCGGCCUGCUGGACGACAACUGACACUGAGGCACGAAGGCCAGGGGAGCGAAAGGGAUUAGAUACCCCUGUA
Molecule: ribosomal RNA, 449 nt
Filed under: uncultured bacterium
Lineage: Bacteria
Description: bacterial SSU rRNA
Rfam family: Bacterial small subunit ribosomal RNA
Source: RNAcentral